Molecule: ribosomal RNA, 440 nt
Filed under: uncultured bacterium
Lineage: Bacteria
Description: partial 16S ribosomal RNA
Rfam family: Bacterial small subunit ribosomal RNA
Source: RNAcentral
CCUACGGGUAGCAGCAGUGGGGGAUAUUGCACAAUGGGGGCAACCCUGAUGCAGCGACGCCGCGUGUGGGAAGACGGUCCUCUGGAUUGUAAACCACUGUCCCCAGGGACGAAGAUGACGGUACCUGGGGAGGAAGCUCCGGCUAACUACGUGCCAGCAGCCGCGGUAAUACGUAGGGAGCGAGCGUUGUCGGGAUUUACUGGGUGUAAGGGGAGCGUAGGCGGGGAUGCAAGUUGGGGGUCAAGACUACCGUCUAAACGGGUAGUCGCACUCAAAACUGCAGCUCUUGAGUGAAGUAGAGGCAGGCGGAAUUCGUAGUGUAGCGGUGAAAUGCGUAGAUAUUAGGAGGAACACCAGUGGCGAAGGUGGCCCGCUGGGCUUUUACUGACGCUGAGGCUCGAAAGUGUGGGGAGCAAACAGGAUUAGAUACCCCUGUAGUC